UGGGGUUUAUGGAUGCUUUUCUUCAAUAUAUUUCAACCAGUAUCUUUCACGUCACAAUUCACAUCUUAACGUUCUCUCUCUCUCCCUCUCCGUCACGAGUCACGAUCUCUGAAAAUUGGUUUCUGUAAUAAUCUAAAAUACAGGAAGAAGAUUGUUUCUAAUUACGUGUAAUUUCAUUUCAUAUUGAAGACAACGACGAGACUUAAAUUUUCUUAAAACCGUCACUGUCAAAUAUCUUUUACGUGCCUUUUAUUUGCUCUUCGCUUUAUCCUUC
Long non-coding RNA from Arabidopsis thaliana (thale cress), 274 nucleotides. RefSeq annotates it as other RNA. The record is from RefSeq. Lineage: Eukaryota; Viridiplantae; Streptophyta; Magnoliopsida; Brassicales; Brassicaceae. The transcript has a single exon.